This 836-nucleotide long non-coding RNA is filed under the name Rattus norvegicus (Norway rat). RNAcentral's name for it is "long non-coding RNA NONRATT025689". Lineage: Eukaryota; Metazoa; Chordata; Mammalia; Rodentia; Muridae. The record is from RNAcentral.
UCAAAAGACCACAUGAUAUAUGCUGGUCAAAUGUAUGUGGACAGAAUUGGCUUGCAGGAACUGUUUGGGAAUGGAAUAGGAGUUUCUUUUUAAGCAUAAAAAAUUUUUGUAAUUUUGUGAUAGACUCACAGUUCUAAUUAUACUGAGAACCAUUUUUUUUUCCUUCUCCUUGGUGGUGCUGGGACUCAGCCACACACGUGCUGCACCCAUUUCCUUCUGCCUUCCUGAAACGCAGAAUUGUGUGUGUUUCUCAUGACUAUGCGUAUCACCUGAUGGCCACUUCCUGUCUUUUGAGUGCAUUAACUACUAAUAGUUAAUUCCCAGGCCUGGUGCAUGGUAGAGAGGAGCAAAUAGUGCGGGAAUAGAUUUCCAAAUGAUGGAUUUUCAUUUGAAAUUACUCACAAUUGUGAAUCAAUUGGAUUUAUCCCUAUGAAUCCAGUAGGACUCAAGAUUUGCAGGAUGAUAUAUUCAGACAGCAAGAAAUCGACAUCAACCAGGAGUCCACGUAAUAAUGGUCUGUUGUUGAGGAGCGUGUAUGAGGCUUUUGUUCUUUCUAAAGCUUUUAACAGCUUUUUACACAUUGAACGGUUGUCUCGGAAUGUGGUGGCAUCUGUUUUUUGGCUUUUGUUUGUUUUUUUUUUUUGUAGACAAUACCUGAAAUUCCACCAAAGCCUGGAGAACUCAGAACGGAGCUUUUGGGACUGAGGGAGAGACACCGUGAAUCUCAGGUCUCACAGCAGUAGAAACCUCAAAAUACAGCUGUGCAAAGAACUCUGUGAAUGAUGCUUUAAAUAUGUAUUUUAAAAUUUAUUAAGUAAAACAACUUUUUUUUUUUU